UACGUAGGGGCAAGCGUUAUCCGGAUUUACUGGGUGUAAAGGGAGCGCAGACGGCAGUGCAAGUCUGAUGUGAAAGCCCGGGGCUCAACCCCGGAACUGCAUUGGAAACUGUACAGCUUGAGUGUCGGAGAGGUAAGCGGAAUUCCUAGUGUAGCGGUGAAAUUCGUAGAUAUUAGGAGGAACACCGGUGGCGAAGGCGGCUUACUGGACGAUGACUGACGUUGAAGCUCGAAAGCGUGGGGAGCAAACAGGAUUAGAUACCCUGGUAGUCCCU
RNAcentral lists this ribosomal RNA (274 nucleotides) under uncultured prokaryote. RNAcentral describes it as "partial 16S ribosomal RNA". It matches the Rfam family "Bacterial small subunit ribosomal RNA", at positions 524 to 798 of the family's 1533-position model. The record is from RNAcentral.